This 2255-nucleotide long non-coding RNA is filed under the name Homo sapiens (human). Its description in RNAcentral is "HSALNT0332736". Lineage: Eukaryota; Metazoa; Chordata; Mammalia; Primates; Hominidae. The record is from RNAcentral.
UCACCCUGGCACAGAGACAUUGUUCCACAAAGAAUGCUCACUAAAAAAAUGUUUAUACUAUCAUAUUAACUUGUAAAAGAGCAAGCUAUAACAUUUUAUGUUCAAUGUAAUACAUUUUUAUUAAGGCAUAACUCCCUAAAAAUGGCUGGGUAAAAGCCUGGAAAGAGAUACACAAAUGUUAGCGGUGGUUGCUUUUUGGACGGUGUGACCAUGGCGAUUAGAAAUAUUUUUUCCCAACUUUUCACAAGAAACAUAUGGCUUUUCUCAUUUUUUUAAAAAAACGGGGUGGGGGAAAGAGCAAUUAUUUUAAGCCAGAAUGUCCAAAAUGAUGCCGUCGAGUCCAACACAAUAUUUUAGACUUUGUUAAUUCCUUUCUGUACAGGAUAGAAGACAAAGGAGGGGCUAAUCUACUUUAGCCAGAUCUAUCAAGCAAAGCAGUGGGAGUUGUUCACAUAUAAGUUCUGUACCCCCUAAAGGAGGCCCAAGUUAGUUUCUUGGCCCAUGUAAUGAAUGCUUUCUCUCUAUUGACUUUCAUUUUUUAAUAUUCUCUGUCAUGUGACAUAACAAGUCAAUGCUCCAUAAAUAUUGGUCAGUUGAAUGAAUUAAAGAAAAUAUUGAUGCUUACAGGCAGAUAGUUUUCUAGAAAAAUCUGCUUAUUUUUCUGAAUAAUUAUGAAAAACGACAUGAUUUCUAUUUUAAAAAAAAGAGAUAAUGUAUCUAUUGUCGACGGACGGUGGAUGUGAGCCAUGUGUUGUGUUCAUACUCGGAGAAUGAAGGAAAACAUCAGAGACUGGGUAAGACAUAAGCAUGAUUUUGAAGAAAUCAAUUGAAAUUUUAUGGAAAGGAACGAGGAUGUUCCAGGCAUGUGGAUUAGCUUAUGCCAAGAUCUGAUGGCUAAAGAAAGGUGAGCAUAGAGGGUGGCCAGGUUGUUGACGGGAGCAGAUGGCGUGGGCUAGAAGGAUCCUGGCAGGGGUCACUGAUAGAUAGAGGAGGAGAGAAACCCGUAGACAAACAGAUUAGAUUUCCCUCUGAUGCUGGUAAAUGCGGAGCUUUUUGUAAGUUUUGGGGGAAAGUGUGUUCCCAAACACAUAUCCUGCUCUCUUGCUCCUCUUUCUAUGGCAAAGGAGGAGAAAUUUCUUCCAGAGACAUAAGCAGGAGGAAGCUGGAGCUCUCUCCUGAGUGAUUGUCAGUUGCAGAGGAGGUGAAUAUCACAGGACAAGCAAGCGUGGGGGAGAAGACUGCCUAGACAUUCUAAAGUGGCUGCUCUGGUUGGGUGGACUGAGGGUUCCCUCCUGCAAGUUCCUGCUGAGUGUGGCUGUCCUCAGGAAACCAAGUCCCCUCUGCGGCCCUACGUGAAGAGAUCAGGAGUUACUCAAAUCCCAGCCAUCGGAAGGAAUCUUAAGCCACAUAUGAUUUCAGAGAAAGUUUCUGCUUUAUAGGGCAAAGGGGUGCCUAGGACUGAGCCUUGUAUGUGCUAAAUGCCUUGUACUAUUGAAAUGAACGAAUAAAGAGGUUUGUGGACAGCAAGCUAUAGUUCAAACUCACAUAUCCUGAGAAAGACAAGUAAUGGAUUUUCCAUUUUCAUCUAUCAGAUGGGCAAAGACCAAAAAGUUUAGUAAUCCACUGUGUUGGAGAGGGUGUGAGAAAAUACACUACCUCAUACAUUGCUGGUAGGAGUGUAUUUUGUUUAAAAUAAUCCAUGUAGGGCAAUUUGGGAGCAUCUAUUUAAAAAUACAUAUGCACAUGGCCUUUGACCCAGCACUUCCGUUUCUAGGAAUUUAUAUUAUGGAUAUACUAGCAUAUGCAAAAUGACAUUAUGUACAAGGGUAUUUAUCAUCAUAUCAUUUAUAAUAGGGCAAAGUUAGGAAUAUUCUAAUUGUCCAACAAUUAGGGAACUUGUUAAAUAAAUGCUGCUGCAUCUUAAUGAAUUUUUUUAGCUAUACAAAAAAAACGAGGACGCUUCUUACAUGCCAACGUGAAGUGAUUUCCAAGAUGCUGAUAAAUGAAAGCAAUCAAAGUGGACAAUAUUGAGUAUGUAAUGCUAGCAUUUAAAAAAGGAGAGAGCAAAAAUGCAUUUGCUUGUAAUGCUUUUAUCUGAAAAUAUAUAAUUGAAACUGAUAACAUUGUUUGCCUCUGGGAAAGAGAACCAGAUGGUUGGAGGGACAAGGUUAGGUGGGAGACUUUGAUAAACAGUAUUUGUACCUUUUGAAUUUUAAACAGCGUAAAUGUUAUUAAAGUUAUAUACUCACAACAAA